This 514-nucleotide ribosomal RNA is filed under the name uncultured Cytophagales Kmlps3-12. RNAcentral's name for it is "bacterial SSU rRNA". It matches the Rfam family "Bacterial small subunit ribosomal RNA", at positions 900 to 1413 of the family's 1533-position model. Lineage: Bacteria; Pseudomonadati; Bacteroidota; Sphingobacteriia; Sphingobacteriales. The record is from RNAcentral.
CUCAAAGGAAUUGACGGGGGCCCGCACAAGCGGAGGAGCAUGUGGUUUAAUUCGAUGAUACGCGAGGAACCUUACCAGGGCUCGAACGCAGGGGGGAUAUACCUGAAAGGGUAUAGCCAGCGAUGGUCGCCUGCGAGGUGCUGCAUGGUUGUCGUCAGCUCGUGCCGUGAGGUGUCAGGUUAAGUCCUAUAACGAGCGCAACCCCUAUCCAUAGUUGCCAGCGGGUAAAGCCGGGGACUCUAUGGGAACUGCCUGCGCAAGCAGAGAGGAAGGAGGGGAUGACGUCAAAUCAGCACGGCCCUUAUGUCCUGGGCUACACACGUGCUACAAUGGUCGGUACAGAGGGCAGCGACCACGUGAGUGGGAGCCAAUCCUUAAAAGCCGAUCUCAGUUCGGAUUGGAGUCUGCAACCCGACUCCAUGAAGUUGGAUUCGCUAGUAAUCGCGCAUCAGCCAUGGCGCGGUGAAUACGUUCCCGGGCCUUGUACACACCGGCCGUCAAGCCAUGGGAGCUG